GGAUCAGAUCAGUUCAGACCCAGACUGGGUCAGCCUCGAUCCAAAUAGCAGCGACGGGUGACCGGACUGCCGCUUUGUCCUCCAGCGACGGCGUGGGGAAAUCAUGGCAGCUUCGGCUUCGUCUCGGUCGCCUGAUCCUAUCUGUGGUCUCGAUUUCGUCGAUGGAGCUUCGAUGAGAGAGAAUCGAAGAAGGGUAGCUUUUUCUGGGUUUGUCGACGAGUUUACUAUUUCAGCCACGGCGGCGAGCAUGAUCGGUCUUGGUAGCUUCACCUCGACCUGUUGAACAUUUCUUUGAAGAGAAGGUCGGAGGAGGGAGAAUCGAAGAGAAGAAGUUUUUAGGUUUUAGGCAGUGUUCUUGGUGUUUUCCGGCGACCUCGGACUUCAAUUCAGGUAUCAAAGUUGGUCGACUCGUCAAGCCCUACAUCUCUAUAUAAUUGGUUUUCAUUUUUGAUUAAGUUUUGAAGAAUCGAAGUUUUGGGGUUUUACUGUGCAAUUUGAGUUUUCCUGUUUGUGUGGUGAUUUUGGUUGCCUUGGGGCGUUCUUCGAUUGGAAUUGACUUUAUGAAGUUGAUUUGAUGAUCUUAAGCCCUUGAAUUACAUAAUUGGAAAAGUUGGGUUUUGGGGCAGUGUUGUUCGGCGAUGGAAGUGGUGGUUGAUGGUUCUGGGUUUGGUUUAUGUUUUAGAUGAAAUUACAAGAGCAUUAGAACUUAAUUAUGUUGUUGUGUCGCCUGGAUUCCAUAAACGGAGAAGUUGAGUGUAAGAAAAUUAGAGUUAUGCAAUUUGGAAUUGAGCUAAGAUUGGAGUAGAUGAUAGUAUCGGGUUUUCUGCUGAUUUUGGUUUAUUGUUUGUGGUGGUGACUGCAGUAUUCUUGUUCCAUUUCCAAUCAUAUGAAAGUGCAGGAACAUGAAUUUGGAUGCUUGAUUGGUAAAAGAUGAGUUUUGGGUGGUAGGAAAUGGAGCUGUGUUAUUGGAAUAGGGAGGGGAAGAUGGUUGUGUAUAGUACUAAUACUGAACUUGGCGGAGUUGAAGGAUGCAACUAAGAACUGUUGAUUUGCGAUAUGGAACUAGGAGCUUGAUUUCAAAUGGAGAAAGUGAGUAUUGGCAAGUGCAGGAGUAGGACAACUUGAGAAGUAUAAAUUGGCUAAAGAGCUUAUGGGUGUCCUUAUCAAUUUCAAAGACUGGAUUGCAUCGACUUGAAAUCAUCAGAGUGAAUAAAUGCGGAUUAAGGAACUCAUCUGGGUGUCUUAGUAGAUUUAUGAAUUCGGUCCGGUUGACUUAAAGUGACUUAAAUUUGGCUUAAAGUGAGUUUUGCGGAUUAAGGAUUCAGGGUGUCCUUAGUAAUUUUAAGAACAUGAUCAAUUUUGGAAAUUGAUUUAGUUUAUUUGAGGUUCGACGGCUUUCUCGGUAAGGAAUUGUGACGAGGAUCGAGUGACUAUCGACUUUUUCAGAAGCAGAAGGAUAAAGAUUUCAGAAUGCGUGUCGCUGAGUUAUUAGUUUUAAUUAGCGUCAGAACUAGCGCUCGGAUUUCAGGUUCAUACAAGGACACAUAUUUGUAGAAGACUAACUGUGACGUUUAGUUGACGUGAACGAGAGUCGAGAAGGACUACCGAAGUUUCUAGUGAGCUAAACAACAAGACUAGUUUUACCUUUAUAGUGAGCUAGACUGCAAGACUUGUUUUGUCUUUAUAAUCGGUUUUGUUUUUUGUAAUCGUUUUAUUUUCGACUAUUUCGAGAAAAAUAUUUAAAAUUAUUUUAUUUUCUUUUAUUUUUCCCGCUCACGCCUCGGAUUCGGUGUUAAGUGUUUGGAAACCACCGACACCGGGUCAGGGGUGUGACAAUUUUAGUCCUUGGUUUGAUGCCUAAGCUACUUCGCUCCUCCAAACUGGGCCGGUGUUGGAUCAAACAAACAGAAACUUGAAAGAAGGAGUCCGAUACAAGUCAUACAACUACGUUGGUCGGAGCGGAUUUUACGCAUCAAGGUGCCCUUGCACCAUUAAUCUGUAAGUUUUUAAAUCUUCGUAUGC
This is an RNA transcript of Fragaria vesca subsp. vesca, 2022 nucleotides long. RefSeq lists it as uncharacterized. The transcript has 2 exons. Lineage: Eukaryota; Viridiplantae; Streptophyta; Magnoliopsida; Rosales; Rosaceae. The record is from RefSeq and is a predicted model, not a curated record.